RNAcentral lists this ribosomal RNA (399 nucleotides) under uncultured bacterium. Its description in RNAcentral is "bacterial SSU rRNA". It matches the Rfam family "Bacterial small subunit ribosomal RNA", at positions 356 to 773 of the family's 1533-position model. The record is from RNAcentral.
GGGGAAUAUUGCACAAUGGAGGGAACUCUGAUGCAGCGACGCCGCGUGAGUGAAGAAGGUCUUCGGAUCGUAAAACUCUGUCCUUGGUGAAGAAAAGGACGGUAGCCAAGGAGGAAGCCCCGGCUAACUACGUGCCAGCAGCCGCGGUAAUACGUAGGGGGCGAGCGUUGUCCGGAUUUACUGGGCGUAAAGGGUGAGUAGGCGGUUAUAUAUGUCAGGUGUAAAAGGCUAUGGCUUAACCAUGGUUAGCACUUGAAACUGUAUGACUUGAGUGCAGGAGAGGUAAGCGGAAUUCCUAGUGUAGCGGUGAAAUGCGUAGAUAUUAGGAGGAACACCGGUGGCGAAGGCGGCUUACUGGACUGUAACUGACGCUGAGUCACGAAAGCGUGGGUAGCAAAC